GAAACUGCCUCGGGGGUGAAACGGGAAACCCGGUGACGCAAUUAAUGCUAUCCCGGUGCUGCCCCCGCAACGGUAAGCGCUGUGUCAUGCCUCAAGCCACUGGAUCUUUGGAUCUGGGAAGGCGGCAUGUUCGGCAGGGAUGCCCUGCCCCGCGCGAGCCCGGAGACCGGCCUUUCGGAUUCCAUGUGC
Molecule: non-coding RNA, 189 nt
Filed under: Aedes aegypti (yellow fever mosquito)
Lineage: Eukaryota; Metazoa; Arthropoda; Insecta; Diptera; Culicidae
Source: RNAcentral